UCUCACAGAAAAUUGAAGAGUUUGACGUUACUCAUUGACAACCUUAAGGAAAUGGGAUUGGACAACGAGGUUGCUACGUUGGAGAAGCAGAAAAAGUUGUUGGAGAAAAUUCCGGGCAUGGAAUUGAAUGAAGAAACCAAGAAACUGAGACAGGCUUGUUUCAAAUCUAAUUACAAGAAGAGAAGAUUGAUUACCUUCCAUCAUUGAACUUAUCAUUGAACUUCACUGUCAUUUGCAUAUUGGAAUGUUGGAUAUAACAGUAAAAAGCCUCACACAAAGAGUAUAGAGAAUGUGAAAAACUCAAGACAUGUUACUUGUUUUUUCAUGUUGUUUUGGUUUUUUCUUAUAUGUCCGUGGAGCAUCAUAACUUCAUUGCCAUCACCAUGAUUUCCACAUCCACCAACCAUGGUGUUCCAUGCCACAACAUUUCGAAUCGACAUCUCGUUGAA
Molecule: long non-coding RNA, 449 nt
Organism: Lathyrus oleraceus (garden pea)
Lineage: Eukaryota; Viridiplantae; Streptophyta; Magnoliopsida; Fabales; Fabaceae
Exons: 2
Source: RefSeq, a predicted model, not a curated record